AGAAGAAGGAAAGUCAGGUUUUUUGUGUGAACUAUCACUUUAACUUUCCUAUAAUAUUCAUAUAAAAUCAGCACUCAAAAUGUGUCACGCAAAUACUUGCAUCUGAAAAACAUGUUGAGAAAAUGUUGCUGAGGAGAUAAUCAUAUUUCUUUCUUUAUAGACACAUAUCAGCAUUAGAUUGCUUUAUUUCUGUCACGCUGCCAGUCUUUGUUUUCCUGGGUGUUCCCUAGUGAGCUCACUUCUCCUUAGGCACUUCACCAUAGGCACUUUAAUUCCGCUAGUCUGGUCAUGUCGUCACAGUAAUUGCACUCCAAUUAAAUCGCACAGGUGUUGACUAUCCUUAGUCAUUAGUCUCCCUAUAUAGAGCUGUCUUUCUCUGUCGUCUUUAUGGAGUCCUUACCCUAUGUGUCUCAUGCUCUCGUUCCCCAAGAUUUCCUCUACCUUCUCGUUCUUCCGAGUUCCCCGUUUCAUCCGGUUCCCUCUUUUGGUUUUGUUUGUCUCUCAUGACUGUUUAUUUUGUAUUUACCCUUCUGUUUAAAUAAAACCCUUACCUGCAUUUGGAUCCAACCCUCUCUUUGUGUUUCUCCUAAACCCUACCGUGACAGAAGGACUCCAUCAAUCAAGGAUCCAGCGGUAUGUCUGCUGCCAUGUCUUCAUCAGCCAGCAAGCGAAAUGGUUUUGAGGGCUCUCGCCUAGUGGUGUUCCGGGGGACCAGGGGAGGUCGCUCCGGAGCAAGCGGUCGAGAGGAGGUCCGGCAGCGAUCGCCACUGUGGCCUCCCAUCGAACCGAGAUUCGGAUGGGGGCUGCCAUUUCCCCAGGAUGUCCCGAGAGGAGAGGGGAGAUGCAGAUCGGCUGAGCCAGCGCCGUGGUACCAGAUGGCCGCCAGUCCUGUGCAGCGGCACCAAAUGGCUGCCAGCUCAGCCCCACAGCACAAGAUGGCCGCCACCCCAACCCCACAGCACAGGAUGGCCGCCAGCCCAGCCCCACAGCACAAGAUGGCCGCCAGCCCAGCCCCACAGCACAAGAUGGCCGCCAGCCUAGCGCCACAGCCCAAGAUGGCCGCCAGCCUAGCGCCACAGCCCAAGAUGGCCGCCAGCCUAGCGCCACAGCCCAAGAUGGCCGCCAGCCUAGCACCACAGCCCAAGAUGGCCGCCAGCCCAGCGCCACAGCCCAAGAUGGCUGCCAGCCCAGCACCACAGCACAAGAUGGCCGACUCAACGACACCGAUUCUCCAUCGUAGAGGGCGGAGGAGGAGACAGGCAGCUACUGUUCCUCAGGACACGGAGAACGUUCCCGAGCGGGCCGCUGCCAUCCAUGAGGCCAUUCCCGAUGCGGUGCCCGCUGCUGUUCCGGAGGCGGUGGCUGAGGCUGUUCCCGAUGCGGUGCCCGCUGCUGUUCCGGAGACCGAGGCGGUGCCCGCUGCUGUUCCGGAGGCCGAGGCGGUGGCCGAGGCUGUUCCCGAGGCCGAGGCUGUUCCCGAGGAGGUGCUCGAUGCUGUUCGAGAGGCCGAGGCUGUUCCCGAGGCGGUGCCCGAUGCUGUGGCCGAGGCUGUUCCCGAGGAGGUGCUCGAUGCUGUUCGAGAGGCCGAGGCUGUUCCCGAGGCGGUGCCCGAUGCUGUUCCCGAGGCGGUGCCCGAUGCAGUUCCCGAGGCGGUGCUCGAUGCAGUUCCCGAGGCUGUUCCCGAGGAGGUGCCCGAUGCUGUUCCCGAGGCGGUGCCCGAUGCAGUUCCCGAGGCGGUGCCCGAUGCAGUUCCCGAGGCGGUGCCCGAUGCAGUUCCCGAGGCGGUGCCCGAUGCAGUUCCCGAGGCGGUGCCCGAUGCAGUUCCCGAGGCGGUGCCCGAUGCAGUUCCCGAGGCGGUGCCCGAUGCAGUUCCCGAGGCGGUGCCCGAUGCAGUUCCCGAGGCGGUGCCCGAUGCAGUUCCCGAGGCGGUGCCCGAUGCAGUUCCCGAGGCGGUGCCCGAUGCGGUUCCCGAGGCGGUGCCCGAUGCGGUUCCCGAGGCUGUUCCCGAGGCGGUGCCCGAGGCUGUUCCCGAGGCGGUGCCCGAUGCUGUUCCCGAGGCGGUGCCCGAUGCUGAGGCCGAGGCUGUUCCCGAGGAGGUGCUCGAUGCUGUGCCCGAUGCUGUGGCCGAGACUGUUCCCGAGGAGGUGCUCGAUGCUGUUCGAGAGGCCGAGGCUGUUCCCGAGGCGGUGCCCGAUGCAGUUCCCGAGGCGGUGCCCGAUGCAGUUCCCGAGGCGGUGCCCGAGGCGGUGCCCGAUGCAGUUCCCGAGGCGGUGCCCGAUGCUGUUCCCGAGGCCGAGGCUGUUCCCGAGGAGGUGCUCGAUGCUGUUCCCGAGGCCGAGGCUGUUCCCGAGGAGGUGCUCGAUGCUGUUCGAGAGGCCGAGGCGGUGCCCGAUGCAGUUCCCGAGGCGGUGCCCGAUGCAGUUCCCGAGGCGGUGCCCGAUGCGGUUCCCGAGGCGGUGCCCGAUGCGGUUCCCGAGGCGGUGCCCGAUGCGGUUCCCGAGGCGGUGCCCGAUGCAGUUCCCGAGGCGGUGCCCGAGGCGGUGCCCCAUGCAGUUCCCGAGGCGGUCCCCUUACCUGCAUUUGGAUCCAACCCUCUCUUUGUGUUUCUCCUAAACCCUACCGUGACAAUUUCAGUUUGCAUAUAUUAUCUGCAAUCCAAGACUGUAUUUGUUUCUUUUCACUGUGUCUCCAUGGAAAUAAUUGCGACAGAAAUGCGACAUAUGCCAGCUGUCACUUGAAAAGGAGGUCAAAAUAGAUAAAUACG
Carassius auratus (goldfish) is the source of this 2764-nucleotide long non-coding RNA. The record is from Ensembl. Lineage: Eukaryota; Metazoa; Chordata; Actinopteri; Cypriniformes; Cyprinidae.